CCUACGGGAGGCAGCAGUGAGGAAUAUUGGUCAAUGGACGAGAGUCUGAACCAGCGAAGUAGCGUGAAGGAUGACUGCCCUAUGGAUUGUAAGCUUCUUUUAUAUGGGAGUAAAACAGGGUAUGCAUACCCUCUUCUAUGUCCCAUAUGAAUAAGGCUCGGCGAACUCCGUGCCAGCAGCCGCGGUAAUACGGAUGUUCCGAGCGUUAUCCGGAUUUAUUGGGUUUAAAGGGAGCGUAGGUGGAUUGUUAAGUCUGUUGUGAAAGUUUGCGGCUCAACCGUGAAAUUGCAGUUGAAACUGGAAGUCUUGAGUACAGUAGAGGUGGGUGGAAUUCGUGGUGUAGCGGUGAAAUGCUUAGAUAUCACGAAGAACUCCGAUGGCGAAGGCAGCUCACUGGACUGCAACUGACACUGAUGCUCGAAAGUGUGGGUAUCAAACAGGAUUAGAUACCCGAGUAGUC
This 460-nucleotide ribosomal RNA is filed under the name uncultured bacterium. Its description in RNAcentral is "partial 16S ribosomal RNA". It matches the Rfam family "Bacterial small subunit ribosomal RNA", at positions 338 to 795 of the family's 1533-position model. The record is from RNAcentral.